ACUACUUGUAAAAAAAGUUAAGAUUUUUUGUAAUGUUAAAUUCUCUCUUAUUAUAAGUAAUUGGAUAACUAUAUUUGGUAUGUGCGUACCUUGCAAGGUUCUCAUGCCCGUCAGACAGUUUUCACUUGACCUCGACCUCAUUUCAUGGAUCAGUGAACAAGGUUAAGUUUUGGUGGUCAAGUCCAUAUCUCAGAUACUAUAAGCAAUAGGUCUAGUAUAUUCGGUGUAUGGAAGGACUGUAAGGUGUACAUGUCCAACUGGCAGGUGUCAUCUGACCUUGACCUCAUUUUCAUGGUUCAGUGGUUAUAGUUAAGUUUUUGGGUUUUGGUCUGUUUUUCUUAUACUAUAUGCAAUAGGUCUACUAUAUUUGGUGUAUGGAAUGAUUGUAAGGUGUACAUGUCCAACUGGCAGGUGUCAUCUGACCUUGACCUCAUUUUCAUGGUUCAGUGGUUAUAGUUAAGUUUUUGAGUUUUGGUCUGUUUUUCUUAUAUACUAUAUGCAAUAGGUCUACUAUAUUUGGUGUAUGGAAUGAUUGUAAGGUGUACAUGUCUAGCUGACAGGUGUCAUCUGACCUUGACCUCAUUUUCAUGGUUACAGUGGUCAAAGUUAAGUUUUUGAGUUUGGUCUAUUUUUCUAAUACUUUAUUCAUUAGGUCAACUAUAUUUGGUGUAUGAAAAUAUUUUAUGAUCUAUAUGUCUGUUACGCAGGUUUAUUUGACCUUGACCUCAUUUUCACGGUCCAUUGCUAAGUGUUAAGUGUUUGUGUUUUGGUCUGUUUUUCUUAAUUUAUAAGCAAUAAGUCAACUAUAUUUGUUGUAUUGAAGAAUUGUUAGCUGUACAUGUCUGCCUGGCAUGGUUCAUCUGACCUUGACCUCAUUUUCAUGGUUCAUUGAUCAAUGUUUCGUUUUCUUGGUUAAUGUUGAGUUUAUGUGACAGUUGUAAUAAAGCUUUAUAUUUAGGUCUAUCAACAUAAUAUCAAUAAUUAGUAAAGAAGGCAAGACAUUUCAGCGUGUGCACUCUUGUUCAUAAAUUUUAGUAAUCUUUUACAAAAAUCUUCUCCUCUGAAACUGCUGGGCUAAAUUAAUCCAAACUUGGCCACAAUCAUCUUUGGGGUAUGUAGUUUAAAAAAUGUGUCCGGUGACCCUGCAAUCCAACCAAAAUGGCUGCCACGG
Molecule: long non-coding RNA, 1171 nt
Filed under: Mytilus galloprovincialis (Mediterranean mussel)
Lineage: Eukaryota; Metazoa; Mollusca; Bivalvia; Mytilida; Mytilidae
Source: RNAcentral